AGCAGUAUUGAACUGAAGAGUUUGAUCAUGGCUCAGAUUGAACGCUGGCGGCAGGCCUAACACAUGCAAGUCGAGCGGAUGAAGGGAGCUUGCUCCUGGAUUCAGCGGCGGACGGGUGAGUAAUGCCUAGGAAUCUGCCUGGUAGUGGGGGAUAACGUCCGGAAACGGGCGCUAAUACCGCAUACGUCCUGAGGGAG
RNAcentral lists this ribosomal RNA (197 nucleotides) under Pseudomonas aeruginosa. RNAcentral describes it as "partial 16S ribosomal RNA". It matches the Rfam family "Bacterial small subunit ribosomal RNA", at positions 1 to 188 of the family's 1533-position model. Lineage: Bacteria; Pseudomonadati; Pseudomonadota; Gammaproteobacteria; Pseudomonadales; Pseudomonadaceae. The record is from RNAcentral.